UUUGAUCAUGGCUCAGGACGAACGCUGGCGGCGUGCUUAACACAUGCUUGUCGAACGGGGCGAAGAGGAGCUUGCUCUUCCUAGCCUAGUGGCAAACGGGUGAGUAACGCGUAGGCAACCUGCCCUUCAGAUGGGGACAACAUUUCGAAAGGAAUGCUAAUACCGAAUGAUGUGCAUUGGUCGCAUGACCGAUGUACCAAAGGCCGGGCAACCGGUCACUGAAGGAUGGGCCUGCGUCUGAUUAGCUAGUUGGUGGGGUAACGGCUCACCAAGGCGACGAUCAGUAGCCGGUCUGAGAGGAUGAACGGCCACAUUGGGACUGAGACACGGCCCAAACUCCUACGGGAGGCAGCAGUGGGGAAUCUUCCGCAAUGGGCGCAAGCCUGACGGAGCAACGCCGCGUGAGUGAAGAAGGUUUUCGGAUCGUAAAGCUCUGUUGUCAGGGACGAGAGACUUGAUCAGGAAAUGGGUCAAGGAGGACGGUACCUGACGAGAAAGCCACGGCUAACUACGUGCCAGCAGCCGCGGUAAUACGUAGGUGGCGAGCGUUGUCCGGAAUUAUUGGGCGUAAAGGGAGCGCAGGUGGGAUUGUAAGUCAGUCUUAAAAGUUCGGGGCUCAACCCCGUGAUGGGAUUGAAACUAUAAUUCUUGAGUGCAGGAGAGGAAAGCGGAAUUCCUA
This 679-nucleotide ribosomal RNA is filed under the name bacterium L4M2 1-7. RNAcentral's name for it is "bacterial SSU rRNA". It matches the Rfam family "Bacterial small subunit ribosomal RNA", at positions 12 to 672 of the family's 1533-position model. The record is from RNAcentral.